RNAcentral lists this ribosomal RNA (1466 nucleotides) under uncultured bacterium. RNAcentral's name for it is "bacterial SSU rRNA". It matches the Rfam family "Bacterial small subunit ribosomal RNA". The record is from RNAcentral.
UCAGAUUGAACGCUGGCGGCAGGCCUAACACAUGCAAGUCGAACGGUAGCACAGAGAGCUUGCUCUCGGGUGACGAGUGGCGGACGGGUGAGUAAUGUCUGGGAAACUGCCUGAUGGAGGGGGAUAACUACUGGAAACGGUAGCUAAUACCGCAUAACGUCGCAAGACCAAAGAGGGGGACCUUCGGGCCUCUUGCCAUCAGAUGUGCCCAGAUGGGAUUAGCUAGUAGGUGGGGUAAUGGCUCACCUAGGCGACGAUCCCUAGCUGGUCUGAGAGGAUGACCAGCCACACUGGAACUGAGACACGGUCCAGACUCCUACGGGAGGCAGCAGUGGGGAAUAUUGCACAAUGGGCGCAAGCCUGAUGCAGCCAUGCCGCGUGUAUGAAGAAGGCCUUCGGGUUGUAAAGUACUUUCAGCGGGGAGGAAGGUGUUGUGGCUAAUAACCGCAGCAAUUGACGUUACCCGCAGAAGAAGCACCGGCUAACUCCGUGCCAGCAGCCGCGGUAAUACGGAGGGUGCAAGCGUUAAUCGGAAUUACUGGGCGUAAAGCGCACGCAGGCGGUCUGUCAAGUCGGAUGUGAAAUCCCCGGGCUCAACCUGGGAACUGCAUUCGAAACUGGCAGGCUAGAGUCUUGUAGAGGGGGGUAGAAUUCCAGGUGUAGCGGUGAAAUGCGUAGAGAUCUGGAGGAAUACCGGUGGCGAAGGCGGCCCCCUGGACAAAGACUGACGCUCAGGUGCGAAAGCGUGGGGAGCAAACAGGAUUAGAUACCCUGGUAGUCCACGCCGUAAACGAUGUCGACUUGGAGGUUGUGCCCUUGAGGCGUGGCUUCCGGAGCUAACGCGUUAAGUCGACCGCCUGGGGAGUACGGCCGCAAGGUUAAAACUCAAAUGAAUUGACGGGGGCCCGCACAAGCGGUGGAGCAUGUGGUUUAAUUCGAUGCAACGCGAAGAACCUUACCUACUCUUGACAUCCAGAGAACUUUCCAGAGAUGGAUUGGUGCCUUCGGGAACUCUGAGACAGGUGCUGCAUGGCUGUCGUCAGCUCGUGUUGUGAAAUGUUGGGUUAAGUCCCGCAACGAGCGCAACCCUUAUCCUUUGUUGCCAGCGGUCCGGCCGGGAACUCAAAGGAGACUGCCAGUGAUAAACUGGAGGAAGGUGGGGAUGACGUCAAGUCAUCAUGGCCCUUACGAGUAGGGCUACACACGUGCUACAAUGGCGCAUACAAAGAGAAGCGAACUCGCGAGAGCAAGCGGACCUCAUAAAGUGCGUCGUAGUCCGGAUUGGAGUCUGCAACUCGACUCCAUGAAGUCGGAAUCGCUAGUAAUCGUAGAUCAGAAUGCUACGGUGAAUACGUUCCCGGGCCUUGUACACACCGCCCGUCACACCAUGGGAGUGGGUUGCAAAAGAAGUAGGUAGCUUAACCUUCGGGAGGGCGCUUACCACUUUGUGAUUCAUGACUGGGGUG